UUUCGCUGCCGAUUUCUCAAUGAACAGUGACGCAGAGCUGGGAGGGAGGGGUAAAACUGAUUUUAGAUAAACCAAACAAGGAUAAGGACACACCUAAACCAACCCCCAAACAACCCAUUUCAUUGGAUGGGUAGUAUAAAUACAAAGAGGGGAGAGAGAAUGACCCAUCUUCUUCCAAAUCCAGCAGCUGCAUGCCGUUCUUCCCUUCCCCUUUCACAACAGAAACGUGAAUCAGACCAGUAGAGAUUACUUUGUGAACUUGUGAGGGAGAGAUGAGACCUUGAGAGAGGAGUGGGCAGCUGCAUAGAGGAGAGGAAAAAGAGAGCUGGAAAACGUGAGAGGAAGAAGAAGGAGGAGAACCAGCAGCUGAAUAGUGUCAAACCUUCCUCAAACUUAGUUAAAUUCAGAAGGUGGUGCGGUCGGGAUUGGACCAUCAUCAAGACAGGAACGACCCACAGGUGGAGCAGGGACGUCACACCAACGAGAUGUCUAGGAUACCCGAUACACGAGAACCUACUUUUGCAAGGAAUUAAGUAGAUGCAUUCUAAAUCACAAUGUAUUUUGUAGGGAUCAAUGUACUGAAUGUAUAACUUUUAUUAGAUCCUUUUUGUUUAAAAAUUGUGAUGGCUAUUAGAAGUAUAAGAGUGCAAACUCAUGUCCAUGUAUAUAUAUUUUUAAUAUGAACUCCAAAUCAUGCAACCUUAAUAUUA
This is a long non-coding RNA of Populus trichocarpa (black cottonwood), 710 nucleotides long. RefSeq lists it as uncharacterized. The record is from RefSeq and is a predicted model, not a curated record. Lineage: Eukaryota; Viridiplantae; Streptophyta; Magnoliopsida; Malpighiales; Salicaceae. The transcript has 3 exons.